RNAcentral lists this small RNA (103 nucleotides) under Marmota monax (woodchuck). Lineage: Eukaryota; Metazoa; Chordata; Mammalia; Rodentia; Sciuridae. The record is from RNAcentral.
GCCAGGUGUGGUGGCGCACGCCUGUAAUCCCAGCAACUUGGGAGGCUGAGAUGGGAGGAUCGUAAGUUUGUAGCCAACCUGGGCAACUUGAAUCCCGUCUUUA